Molecule: ribosomal RNA, 891 nt
Filed under: uncultured bacterium
Lineage: Bacteria
Description: bacterial SSU rRNA
Rfam family: Bacterial small subunit ribosomal RNA
Source: RNAcentral
AGAGUUUGAUCAUGGCUCAGGAUGAACGCCGGCGGUGUGCCUAAUACAUGCAAGUCGAACGCGUUUGGCCCAACUGAUUGAACGUGCUUGCACGGACUUGACGUUGGUUUACCAGCGAGUGGCGGACGGGUGAGUAACACGUAGGUAACCUGCCCCAAAGCGGGGGAUAACAUUUGGAAACAGAUGCUAAUACCGCAUAACAAUUUGAAUCGCAUGAUUCAAAUUUGAAAGAUGGCUUCGGCUAUCACUUUGGGAUGGACCUGCGGCGCAUUAGCUUGUUGGUAGGGUAACGGCCUACCAAGGCUGUGAUGCGUAGCCGAGUUGAGAGACUGAUCGGCCACAAUGGAACUGAGACACGGUCCAUACUCCUACGGGAGGCAGCAGUAGGGAAUCUUCCACAAUGGGCGCAAGCCUGAUGGAGCAACACCGCGUGAGUGAAGAAGGGUUUCGGCUCGUAAAGCUCUGUUGUUAGAGAAGAACGUGCGUGAGAGCAACUGUUCACGCAGUGACGGUAUCUAACCAGAAAGUCACGGCUAACUACGUGCCAGCAGCCGCGGUAAUACGUAGGUGGCAAGCGUUAUCCGGAUUUAUUGGGCGUAAAGCGAGCGCAGGCGGUUUGAUAAGUCUGAUGUGAAAGCCUUUGGCUUAACCAAAGAAGUGCAUCGGAAACUGUCAGACUUGAGUGCAGAAGAGGACAGUGGAACUCCAUGUGUAGCGGUGGAAUGCGUAGAUAUAUGGAAGAACACCAGUGGCGAAGGCGGCUGUCUGGUCUGCAACUGACGCUGAGGCUCGAAAGCAUGGGUAGCGAACAGGAUUAGAUACCCUGGUAGUCCAUGCCGUAAACGAUGAGUGCUAGGUGUUGGAGGGUUUCCGCCCUUCAGUGCCGCAGCU